RNAcentral lists this ribosomal RNA (488 nucleotides) under uncultured bacterium. RNAcentral describes it as "partial 16S ribosomal RNA". It matches the Rfam family "Bacterial small subunit ribosomal RNA", at positions 28 to 506 of the family's 1533-position model. The record is from RNAcentral.
GACGAACGCUGGCGGCGUGCUUAACACAUGCAAGUCGAACGGUGAAGGGACCAGCUUGCUGGUUCUGGAUGAGUGGCGAACGGGUGAGUAACACGUGAGUAACCUGCCCCCUUCUUCUGGAUAACCGCAUGAAAGUGUGGCUAAUACGGGAUAUUCUGGGUCUGUCGCAUGGCGGGCCCGGGAAAGAUAUUGCUUCGGUGGGGGAUGGGCUCGCGGCCUAUCAGCUUGUUGGUGGGGUGAUGGCCUACCAAGGCGGUGACGGGUAGCCGGCCUGGGAGGGGGGACGGUCACACUGGGACUGGGACCCGGCCCCGACUCCUCCGGGAGGCAGCAGUGGGGAAUAGUGCACAAGGGGCGCAAGCCUGGUGCAGCGACGCCGCGUGGGGGAUGGGGGCCUUCGGGUUGUAACCCUCUUUCGCCAGGGAAGCAGGCCUGCUCCUUGGGGGUGGGUUGACGGGAGCUGGAAAAGAAGCGCCGGCUAACUACGU